UACGUAGGUGACCAGCGUUGUCCGGAUUUACUGGGCGUAAAGAGCGCGCAGGCGGUCGUUCAAGUCGAGUGUGAAAGCCCCCGGCUCAACUGGGGAGGGUCAUUCGAUACUGAUCGACUCGAAGGCAGGAGAGGGUAGUGGAAUUCCCGGUGUAGUGGUGAAAUGCGUAGAUAUCGUCAGGAACGCCGAUGGUGAAGACAGGUGACUGGGCUAGUUCUGACACUGAGGCACGAAAGCGUGGGGAGCGAACGGG
This 253-nucleotide ribosomal RNA is filed under the name uncultured bacterium. Its description in RNAcentral is "partial 16S ribosomal RNA". It matches the Rfam family "Bacterial small subunit ribosomal RNA", at positions 524 to 776 of the family's 1533-position model. The record is from RNAcentral.